RNAcentral lists this ribosomal RNA (372 nucleotides) under uncultured organism. RNAcentral's name for it is "partial 16S ribosomal RNA". It matches the Rfam family "Bacterial small subunit ribosomal RNA", at positions 527 to 896 of the family's 1533-position model. The record is from RNAcentral.
GGAAGGUGCAAGCGUUAAUCGGAAUUACUGGGCGUAAAGCGCGCGUAGGCGGCUAGAUAAGUCGGGUGUGAAAGCCCUGGGCUCAACCUGGGAACUGCAUUCGAUACUGUCUAGCUAGAGUGUGGUAGAGGGAGGCGGAAUUCCGCAUGUAGCGGUGAAAUGCGUAGAGAUGCGGAGGAACACCAAUGGCGAAGGCAGCCUUCUGGACCAACACUGACGCUGAGGCGCGAAAGCGUGGGGAGCAAACAGGAUUAGAUACCCUGGUAGUCCACGCCCGUAAACGAUGUCAACUAGCCGUUGGGAGCAUUUUGGCUCUUGGUGGCGCAGCUAACGCGAUAAGUUGACCGCCUGGGGAGUACGGUCGCAAGAUUA